GAUGAAGAACGUAGCGAAAUGCGAUAAGUAAUGUGAAUUGCAGAAUUCAGUGAAUCAUCGAAUCUUUGAACGCACCUUGCGCCCUUUGGCCAUUCCGAAGGGCAUGCCUGUUUGAGUAUCAUGAACACCUCAACUCCUCAUGGUCUUCUAUGAUGAGCUUGGACUUUGGGGGCUUGCUGGCCCAUUUGGUCAGCUCCUCUCAAAUGAAUCAGCCUACCAGUGUUUGGUGGCACCACAGGUGUGAUAACAAUCUACGCUUGAGGUUUUCCACCAGGCAACCUUCAGUAAUUGGGGUUCACUGGGGCUCACAAAUGUCUUUCUUCAGUGAGGACAGCUCUUUGAAUGUUUGAUCUCAAAUCAGGUAGUACUACCCGCUGAACUUAAGCAUAUCAAUAAGCGGAGGA
This 404-nucleotide unclassified non-coding RNA is filed under the name soil metagenome. RNAcentral's name for it is "partial contains 5.8S ribosomal RNA, internal transcribed spacer 2, and large subunit ribosomal RNA". The stretch from base 1 to 121 matches the Rfam family "5.8S ribosomal RNA", at positions 35 to 154 of the family's 154-position model. The record is from RNAcentral.